CCUACGGGGGGCUGCAGUGGGGAAUAUUGGACAAUGGGCGAAAGCCUGAUCCAGCCAUGCCGCGUGUGUGAAGAAGGCCUUCGGGUUGUAAAGCACUUUCAGUGGGGAAGAAAGCCUUGGGGCUAAUACCCUCGAGGAAGGACAUCACCCACAGAAGAAGCACCGGCUAACUCCGUGCCAGCAGCCGCGGUAAUACGGAGGGUGCGAGCGUUAAUCGGAAUUACUGGGCGUAAAGCGCGCGUAGGCGGUCUGAUAAGCCGGUUGUGAAAGCCCCGGGCUCAACCUGGGAACGGCAUCCGGAACUGUCAGGCUAGAGUGCAGGAGAGGAAGGUAGAAUUCCCGGUGUAGCGGUGAAAUGCGUAGAGAUCGGGAGGAAUACCAGUGGCGAAGGCGGCCUUCUGGACUGACACUGACGCUGAGGUGCGAAAGCGUGGGUAGCAAACAGGAUUAGAUCCCUUGUAGUC
RNAcentral lists this ribosomal RNA (464 nucleotides) under Vreelandella stevensii. RNAcentral's name for it is "partial 16S ribosomal RNA". It matches the Rfam family "Bacterial small subunit ribosomal RNA", at positions 338 to 795 of the family's 1533-position model. The record is from RNAcentral. Lineage: Bacteria; Pseudomonadati; Pseudomonadota; Gammaproteobacteria; Oceanospirillales; Halomonadaceae.